UACGUAGGGGGCUAGCGUUGUCCGGAUUUAUUGGGCGUAAAGAGCGUGUAGGCGGCCAGAUAGGUCUGCUGUGAAAACUCGAGGCUCAACCUCGAGCUGUCGGCGGAAACCAUUUGGCUAGAGUCCGGAAGAGGAGAGUGGAAUUCCUGGUGUAGCGGUGAAAUGCGCAGAUAUCAGGAAGAACACCUAUGGCGAAGGCAGCUCUCUGGGACGGUACUGACGCUGAGACGCGAAAGCGUGGGGAGCAAACAGG
This 253-nucleotide ribosomal RNA is filed under the name uncultured bacterium. RNAcentral describes it as "partial 16S ribosomal RNA". It matches the Rfam family "Bacterial small subunit ribosomal RNA", at positions 524 to 776 of the family's 1533-position model. The record is from RNAcentral.